CUCGUACCGCGACCCCAGGUCAGGCGGGG
Molecule: ribosomal RNA, 29 nt
Filed under: Lemna minor
Lineage: Eukaryota; Viridiplantae; Streptophyta; Magnoliopsida; Alismatales; Araceae
Description: partial 26S ribosomal RNA
Source: RNAcentral